GAGUUUGAUCGUGGCUCAGAUUGAACGCUGGCGGCAUGCCUUACACGUGCAAGUCGAACGGCAGCACGGGAGCUUGCUCCUGGUGGCGAGUGGCGAACGGGUGAGUAAUGCAUCGGAACGUAUCCUGGAGUGGGGGAUAACGUAGCGAAAGUUACGCUAAUACCGCAUAUUCUGUGAGCAGGAAAGCGGGGGACCUUCGGGCCUCGCGCUCUUGGAGCGGCCGAUGUCGGAUUAGCUAGUUGGUGAGGUAAAGGCUCACCAAGGCGACGAUCCGUAGCAGGUCUGAGAGGAUGAUCUGCCACACUGGAACUGAGACACGGUCCAGACUCCUACGGGAGGCAGCAGUGGGGAAUUUUGGACAAUGGGGGCAACCCUGAUCCAGCCAUGCCGCGUGAGUGAAGAAGGCC
RNAcentral lists this ribosomal RNA (407 nucleotides) under bacterium enrichment culture clone ALO1_GLFRUDD03FPFAV. RNAcentral's name for it is "bacterial SSU rRNA". It matches the Rfam family "Bacterial small subunit ribosomal RNA", at positions 9 to 416 of the family's 1533-position model. The record is from RNAcentral.